This 520-nucleotide ribosomal RNA is filed under the name uncultured Glomus. RNAcentral's name for it is "SSU rRNA". It matches the Rfam family "Eukaryotic small subunit ribosomal RNA", at positions 569 to 1091 of the family's 1831-position model. The record is from RNAcentral. Lineage: Eukaryota; Fungi; Glomeromycota; Glomeromycetes; Glomerales; Glomeraceae.
AGCAGCCGCGGUAAUUCCAGCUCCAAUAGCGUAUAUUAAAGUUGUUGCAGUUAAAAAGCUCGUAGUUGAAUUUCGGGAUCAUCAGGUUGGUCGUGCCUCUGGUAUGUACUGAUUUCGAUGGUUCCUCCUUCUUGUAGAACCGUAAUGCCAUUAAUUUGGUGUUGCGGGAAAACAGGACUGUUACUUUGAAAAAAUUAGAGUGUUUAAAGCAGGCAAUCGCUUGGAUACAUUAGCAUGGAAUAAUGAAAUAGGACGUUUGAUCCUAUUUUGUUGGUUUCUAGGAUUGACGUAAUGAUUAAUAGGGAUAGUUGGGAGCAUUAGUAUUCAAUUGUCAGAGGUGAAAUUCUUGGAUUUAUUGAAGACUAACUACUGCGAAAGCAUUUGCCAAGGAUGUUUUCAUUAAUCAAGAACGAAAGUUAGGGGAUCGAAGACGAUCAGAUACCGUCGUAGUCUUAACCAUAAACUAUGCCGACUAGGGAUCGGAUGAUGUUAAUUUUUAAUGACUCAUUCGGCGCCUUAA